Molecule: long non-coding RNA, 1020 nt
Filed under: Portunus trituberculatus (swimming crab)
Lineage: Eukaryota; Metazoa; Arthropoda; Malacostraca; Decapoda; Portunidae
Description: uncharacterized LOC123498033
Source: RNAcentral
UGAGGAGCAAUAGUGUGCAGGUGUCUGCCGUGUCAGACAUUCUCCGCACUGAGGAGUGCCAGAAACAUUGGCAUAUUAUAAAAUCUGAGGCAAGACGGAACACCCGCAAGCAGAGAGAAGCCAUGACUGCCACAGAUGGUGGACCUCCUGCUAACCCUCCUCUUUCCCAGCACAAUGAGUUAAUCUUUGAGAUUUUGGACCCUAAGAAUGUCUCUAUUCAUGGGUGUACCAAUAAGGCAAGCAUCAUUGAAUGCACCUUCCUUAACAAAGGAUAAGCCACUUGUAGAUAUAGCAAUAUUAGGCCAUAAUGUUGUCUCAAAUGUCUGCAAUCCAAAAUACUCGUUCCCAUUUAGUUUACAACUUAAGAGUUAAACACAAUGGUAAAUUUGUUAUCUAGUGUUGAGAAAAUUUCAUUUUUUUUUUCUUUAACCAAACAGCUAAAACAGUAAUAAGAAAAGAAAAAAAUAAAAAACUAAUAAAGUUAACUUAAUUCCUAUCCCUUCUUCCCCCUCAUAGAUAUGAUGUUGUAGUGGGUAAAUGUGUUAAUGAUAACAAGUCUUAGGGAUUUACAGUUUCUUAGACAUGGGCUUCCUUCAAACAGAAUAGGAUUUAAGUCAAACACAUUGUACCCUUAGCUAGAUUUACUGGUUUCUGUUACUUUUGUCCUUAGCAAUAAAACCAAAAACAUUAUCAGCUUAGUUUCUGAAGUUAGAACUAAUGAUGCCAGCAGUGUGCAGGCAGCAGAUGAUGCUGGGGAAGUGGCAGAGGCAGCCCAACAGAGAGAAGUGGUGACCGAGGCAGUAGGUGUUGAGGAGGAGGCACCUGCCACACCACUUGCAGCACCAAGAGGGGCCAGACUUGCCUGGUAUAUCACUGGUGUUUGUGGAUGAGGAGAUCAUCCACCUGCAGAAGAAAAGGAAGCUUGAGCUUGCACUCCUUGAAGAAUCUAUAAUGGCUCAGGAAAGGAAGCAAGAAGCAGAACAGGCUAAGUACAUGUACUACACACAAAAACUAGAGUAC